GAAAGUCACACAGCUCUGCAGCUGAGAUGAGCCACUCCAGCUUCAUUGUCACCAGCUACACAGGGAGGGACUUGGUCGGGACCUAUAUGCUCAACGUGCAUUAUCCUGCUUUAUGCUGGCACAUCUAAGAUCUCUACCGUGACUCCAGGAAGAUGGGACGCAAAAAAGGGAAAAUGAGACCAUGGCUAUUAUUAUUUGAAGAAAGCUGUUUGUUACAAAGCAAAAGGGGAAGACCUUGCCUGUCUAUAAAUUGAUGUUAAAAAAAAAAGAAGAAAGAAAAAGAAAACUCUCCACCAUUAAUAUACUCCUCUUCCAAGAUAGGAAUAAUAAAUCUUGAAGUGGUUCAUUAAAUAUUAAAUACUUA
This is a long non-coding RNA of Homo sapiens (human), 364 nucleotides long. The record is from Ensembl. Lineage: Eukaryota; Metazoa; Chordata; Mammalia; Primates; Hominidae.